AUUGAACGCUGGCGGCAGGCCUAACACAUGCAAGUCGAGCGAGCGGCGGACGGGUGAGUAAUGUAUGGGGACUGCCCGAUAGAGGGGGAUAACUACUGGACACGGUAGCUAAUACCGCAUACUGUCGGAUAACCCAUAUGGGAUUAGCUAGUUGGUGAGGUAAUGGCUCACCAAGACUACGAUCCCUCGCUGGUCUGAGAGGAUGACAGGCAAACCUGGGACGCAGAGACGGCCCAGACUCCUACGGAGGAGGAAGAGGGGAAUAUUGCACAAUGGGCGCAAGCCUGAUGCAGCCAUGCCGCGUGUAGGAAGAAGGCCCUAGGGUUGUAAAGUACGUACAGUCGGGAGGCGUUACCGACAGAAGAAGCACCUGCGAACUCCGUGCCAGCAGCCGCGGUAAUAC
RNAcentral lists this ribosomal RNA (403 nucleotides) under uncultured bacterium. RNAcentral's name for it is "partial 16S ribosomal RNA". It matches the Rfam family "Bacterial small subunit ribosomal RNA", at positions 29 to 526 of the family's 1533-position model. The record is from RNAcentral.